GUCAUAAAGUUUAAUCAUUCAAGUUACAUCUUGUAUUUAUAUCCAUAUUUUCGGUAUCAGAUUUAUGUCCAUAUGUAUUUUAAAUAAAUAUAGAUAUGAAUUUUUGAAUCCAAAUAAAAUUUGUAUUUGUAUAUGUAUUCUUCAAACAAAACAAAUAUAGUUAUGGAUAUAUUAGUAUUUGAUCCAUAUAUGAUCCAUUUUCAGUCCUAAUAUUGGUGAUUCUAUCUAGAGAAGCAUUUGCAUAU
This 245-nucleotide long non-coding RNA is filed under the name Elaeis guineensis (African oil palm). Its description in RNAcentral is "long non-coding RNA (EGUI_LNC040339)". The record is from RNAcentral. Lineage: Eukaryota; Viridiplantae; Streptophyta; Magnoliopsida; Arecales; Arecaceae.